ACACAGUAGCGGAUCCUUUUGUACCAUAACAUUUUUUGGGGUGGGUGGGCAGGAUAACUACUCUGUGUUAUAAUUAUUUUAUGACAGAAAGUUUGUUAUAUUGUAUUUUCAGUUAACCAGGAUAUCUUAUGCUGAAUCAGCUCCUCAGGGGCCUCACAAUUUUCAAAAAGUCUGAGAUCCUGUUGCCUGGGCCAGUGGAUAGCAGGUUAAACCUUUGGCACAUUUCUCACCCUCCAGGAAAGAGGUGGUGCUGUCUCAGGACCAGGCCUAGUCCAGAAGGUUUCAGCGGUGCAUACUGAACGAGAUACGGAAGAAGUGGGCAGGGAGAGACCUUUCAGACUUCUGCUCUCUGAAGUUCUAGGCUAUUAAUUAUAUCUGAGGCUCUAGGAACCUUUUAGAGGCAUCUUGGGAUUCUUUGUAGGGAGCAGAGGAGGAAUGCAAUUAUUCAACUUCAUAUUGCAAGUGGAGACUUUAACAUUGGCAGGGUUCAAGUCUCAAGCAUGUUCAGAAACCUAAAUGUUUGGACAAUACCAAAUUGCUAAGGGGAGGACAGGUAGCUGGAGCCACCAGCACUGAGGACAUACAAUGUUUCUGGCAAUGCUGACACUUUCCUCUUGUGAAGGGAGGACUGGGUGCACCGGCUUAGAAUCUGAAUACACAUAUGUCACUGUGUUAGCUAUUAAUAAGUAUCACUGUUAAUAGCUAACAAUUAUUGAAUGCUUACUCUAUGUCAAGUAUUCCACAUGCGUUCUUCCAUUUAAUACUGAUAACAAUCAUGUGAUAUAGGGUCUAUUAUUAUCCCCAUUUUACAAAUAAAGAGACUAUGGUUGGUUAACUUGUCCAAGCUCACAGAGCUACUGAGUAGCAGAGUUGGGACUCGAGUCCUAUCACAAUGUCUCCUGCCAAUCACCACACCAUGCCAUCUUCAGUCUCUGCACAAUCUUCUUCUAUUUGCUAAUGGAGGGGAUUAAAAAAAGAUCAAUUAUACAACACUGACUAAUGCAUAACACUGGGUGUCUAUAACUGUUCUCCUCAAGGAAAUAGUGUAAUCAUUUUGCAACUUCACACAGCAAAGAAAGAUGUGCUUUGCUCUGUGCAUUAGAGCCAGGCCUUGCCAUUUGCAAAACUUCAUCCCAUCAUCUCCUUGGAUAGUGAGGAUGGUCCUGGAAGUUACUGAGCAACACACUGCUCCCCUCUCCCCCUUAUCUCCCACAGGCCUCAC
RNAcentral lists this long non-coding RNA (1222 nucleotides) under Homo sapiens (human). RNAcentral describes it as "HSALNT0359149". Lineage: Eukaryota; Metazoa; Chordata; Mammalia; Primates; Hominidae. The record is from RNAcentral.